This 85-nucleotide transfer RNA is filed under the name Phragmitibacter flavus. It matches the Rfam family "tRNA". From Rfam's summary of the family: Transfer RNA (tRNA) molecules are approximately 80 nucleotides in length. Their secondary structure includes four short double-helical elements and three loops (D, anti-codon, and T loops). Lineage: Bacteria; Pseudomonadati; Verrucomicrobiota; Verrucomicrobiia; Verrucomicrobiales; Verrucomicrobiaceae. The record is from Rfam by way of RNAcentral.
GGAGAGGUGGUCGAGUGGUUUAUGGCUGCAGUCUUGAAAACUGCCUUAGCGCAAGCUAACGUGGGUUCGAAUCCCACCCUCUCCG